CCCCAGCACAGCUUUCAUUCAAAUCAGCUUUUCCAAGGCCACUUUCGUCCUGAAGUCAAUGCAUGUAUUUGCUGUUUGACAGUAAACCCGCUCUGCCUUCUCCACGUCCAAGGCUGUGCAUUCGUCUAAUUAGUGUCGUGUAUGUUUUCCUUUUAUUUUUUCCAAUAAAAAAGCAGUGGGAUGAAAAUUGCUUUGAUAUAUAGCAGGUAACAUUGAAGCUAUUCCAUAGCACUUAAGUGUAGUGAAUACUGUGUCACCAAUCCUGAAAUCAAUUUAAUGUUUAAUGCAAAUCCAUUACAUGGUGCUAUUACAGGCUGACAAAAUGAUUUACACAAAUGUGACAACUUGGGCUCAAUUCACUCUGCUUUCCAACAGUGUAAACGCAUAGCAGUGUUUAUCUGCAUGAGAACUAUGCACUAAUCUAUCUGAAGAAAAAAACUAUAUCAACUUUGGUAUCUACUUUCCGUUUACUUCAAUCCUUGCCUUUUUGGUCAUUGUUAUAA
This 503-nucleotide long non-coding RNA is filed under the name Bos taurus (domestic cattle). RNAcentral's name for it is "long non-coding RNA NONBTAT018774". The record is from RNAcentral. Lineage: Eukaryota; Metazoa; Chordata; Mammalia; Artiodactyla; Bovidae.